This 431-nucleotide unclassified non-coding RNA is filed under the name plant metagenome. RNAcentral's name for it is "partial contains 5.8S ribosomal RNA, internal transcribed spacer 2, and large subunit ribosomal RNA". The stretch from base 1 to 102 matches the Rfam family "5.8S ribosomal RNA", at positions 50 to 154 of the family's 154-position model. The record is from RNAcentral.
AAACUGCGAUAAGUAGUGUGAAUUGCAUUUAGUGAAUCAUCGAAUCUUUGAACGCACCUUGCACUCACUGGUAUUCCGGUGAGUACGCCUGUUUCAGUAUCAUUGAAAACACACAAUCAAAACAUUUUCUUUGGUUUGAUUGGCUUUGGGUCUAUCAAAAAGUUUGGCUUGUUUCUUACAAGCCAAGCGGCCUGAAAUAUAUUGUCUGGCUAAUUGCAUCGUUGAUGAUCGCUAUUAGACUUUGGCUUUUUUAAAUGAACUGGAGGUUGAUUAACCAGUUUUAGCUUUAGUCAAAUGGUCAUUGUAAAAAAUAUCUCGAUCUUGGCUAGGUGUUUAUAGCCGAAAAUUUUUUUUUGGCUAUAACCGAAACCAAUAUAAUCACAUUUAGUUAUCGAUCUGAAAUCAGGUGGGACUACCCGCUGAACUUAAGC